Long non-coding RNA from Cyprinus carpio (common carp), 328 nucleotides. RefSeq lists it as uncharacterized. Lineage: Eukaryota; Metazoa; Chordata; Actinopteri; Cypriniformes; Cyprinidae. The transcript has 2 exons. The record is from RefSeq and is a predicted model, not a curated record.
UUGUCAACAAAACUUGAUGCUGUAGCUGCAGGACUUCCACACUGCCUGAGAGCAGUGGCAGCGGCCGAGCUGGCUGUGAUGGCCUCGAGAGAAUUUAGCAUGCAGUCUUUUUCCACAGGAGCUGAGAAAAACAACUGGAAGGCAUCAGGCUGCAGCCUUGUUGAUGGCGUCUGGAGAUCCAUUGUUGGAACGCCCUGUUUACCCAAACAUUUCUUUCAACAUUAUGCUAAGUUGACACAUGGGCUAGACCAUGUAUCAAAAGGGGGAAUGAUUGCACAGAUGAAAGAAUUGUGGUUUACCAAGGGCUUCACAAUAUUCGCUGAGAAUU